UAAGGUGAUCAUGGCGAUGAGGCCCACCCUUUUCCAUUCCGAACAAGGAAGUUAAGCUCAUCAGCGCCGAUGGUACUGCUAUACCAAGUGGGAGAGUAGGUCGUUGCCUUUU
Ribosomal RNA from Flavobacteria bacterium MS024-3C, 112 nucleotides. NCBI's taxonomy places the organism in Bacteria, Pseudomonadati, Bacteroidota, Flavobacteriia. The record is from Rfam.